RNAcentral lists this ribosomal RNA (253 nucleotides) under uncultured bacterium. Its description in RNAcentral is "partial 16S ribosomal RNA". It matches the Rfam family "Bacterial small subunit ribosomal RNA", at positions 524 to 776 of the family's 1533-position model. The record is from RNAcentral.
UACGUAGGAGGCGAGCGUUGUCCGGAGUUACUGGGCGUAAAGAGCUCGUAGGCGGUUUGUCGCGUCUGCUGUGAAAACUCAGGGCUUAACCCUGAGCCUGCAGUGGGUACGGGCAGACUAGAGUGUGGUAGGGGAGAUCGGAAUUCCUGGUGUAGCGGUGGAAUGCGCAGAUAUCAGGAGGAACACCGGUGGCGAAGGCGGAUCUCUGGGCCAUAACUGACGCUGAGGAGCGAAAGCAUGGGGAGCGAACAGG